This 1448-nucleotide long non-coding RNA is filed under the name Cricetulus griseus (Chinese hamster). RNAcentral describes it as "lncRNA (ENSCGRG00015041193.1)". The record is from RNAcentral. Lineage: Eukaryota; Metazoa; Chordata; Mammalia; Rodentia; Cricetidae.
AGGAAGUGGGCCCUCUCUUCCUCCAGAGUCACCCUGUGAUCCACCAGCAAGGGAGGCCACCAAAGGAAGGCGUCUGAUAAGAGAUAAGGCAGGAGACGAGCGACGUGCAGCAGAACCAAGCAAAUCAGAGCUCCAAAUCAGAGGAAGCAGACCAGGAACCCAAAGACUCGAAUACCCGAGCUCAGAAACACAGGUCGGAAUAAAUCAGCCACUGGGGUAGCAGAAUAAAUCAGCCAGUGGGAGGAGGACUCUUCCAGGCACGCUGCGUAUCUGGUGACUGUGUGAUUGUGCUGAUAUUUACCACUUAGAGGGAGAAAUCUCCGUUAAUUAUUUUUUCUCUUUUUGGCUCUUGGCUUUCUCUUUUUCUCUAUUUCUUUUUAGUACCGCUCUAUAAUGAGAAUAAAGUUAGGCAAUGGGGCGACUCCCUGGAGAAGGCCACACACUUUCUUGAGUGUGUUCUUUGGCUCUGCAAUAAACUUCUUUCCAGUUUCCUUUUCAAAGAGUUAAGCAAUGAAGGGAAAAAGAGGAACUACACAAUAGCGGCGGAGUGACGCAGUGAGAAAUAGUGCAACCGGGAGGACCACACAGCUAGAGAGUGAGCCAAGGGGGAGGACUGCAGAGAAGUCAGCCAGGGGGGAGGACCACGCAGCUAGAGAGUCAGCCAAGGGGGAGGACUGCAGAGAAUGACGGGGAGGACUACAGAGAAUGACAGGGAGGACUGCAGAGAAGUCAACAAGGGGGAGGACUGCAGCUUCCCAGUUAAGGCUCUAGGCCAAAGGUCACAGCUUUCUGGUUCUUAGCAGAAAAUCACCCUGGAGUGAGGUGGGUGAGGAGCAGAGGGGGUGGAGAGGAGUGGACUCCAGGCGCCGCAGACCUGGACUCAUGUGCCUGGAGCCACGGCUGUGGACAGAGAGACCCAGAGAAACUGAAAGCCAGAAGCUGGGGCAGGGAGUGAACACAAGAGUCGCAAGCGGCAGGAGGGUCUCUGUGAGUUCAGGGCCAGCCUUGUCUACAGAGCAAACACCAGACCAGCUAGGGCUAUGCAAUGAGACCCUGUGUCAACUUUUUUCAAAAAGGGAAGAAAAGAGAAAAGAGGGCAGUCCCUUAGAGAUGCUCGCAGACGCAGCUUUUUGCAGCGGCCUGGCUGGGACUGGCUUGAGGAGGGGACGGGGACACAGGGGAGGAUGUGGCGGUACCGCGGGAGGGAAGCGGAGGGCGGUCAGGGCCUCUCCGAGGGCCACAGGUUCCCCUAAAGGACCUAACACUGCAGUAAACGUUAAGGCCCUAGGGCUAGCAUGCGUGAAACCCUGGGUUCCGUCCUGGGCUCCAUCCUGCGCAUCGCCACAAAACAGACCUCCCCAAACCGUCACACCCCGUCAUCGUUUUCAUCGCCUCCCCAAACCCUCACACCCCGUCGUCGUUCUCACCGCCUCCCCAAACCUUCACAC